Molecule: long non-coding RNA, 208 nt
Filed under: Lathyrus oleraceus (garden pea)
Lineage: Eukaryota; Viridiplantae; Streptophyta; Magnoliopsida; Fabales; Fabaceae
Description: Pisum sativum (pea) long non-coding RNA (PSAT_LNC013898)
Source: RNAcentral
UGAGAAGUAUCAUGAAGCACUUAUCUAGAAGUAUUAAGGUUGGCAAAAAGCAUGCUCAAAAGAGCAAUAAAAAGAAAAAAUAUAUGACUCAAUGAAUCCCAACAAGAAUGGUUCCCAAAAGAAAUACCCCCUGAUUAUUAGAUUGAACAACAAUUAUGAGGGUAACAACACGAACUCUGAGCCUGAAUCCCUAGUAUUUCCCUUUUUG